This 1992-nucleotide ribosomal RNA is filed under the name Triticum aestivum (bread wheat). Its description in RNAcentral is "partial small subunit ribosomal RNA". Lineage: Eukaryota; Viridiplantae; Streptophyta; Magnoliopsida; Poales; Poaceae. The record is from RNAcentral.
AUGGCGCUCUCGAAGCCCCUCUUCUCCCGCCUCCUUCCCUUCUCCCUCCGCCUCCCCGCCCGCCCCCAGCACCGUCUCCUCUGCCUCGCCACCCCCACCGAUCUCCCGGAUGCCCCCACCGACGCCUCCGCCGAGCGCCGCCGCCGCAAGCGCCGCCUCCGCGUGGAGCCGCCGUCCUCCCGCGGCCCGACUCCCCAGCGCACCCCUGGAGGGCCCCGCCCCUCGUCUAACCCCAACGCUCUCAAGCUCCCUGAGCCAGCGUCGGUCCUCUCCGGCAAGCGCCUCGAUCUCCAUCGCCGCAUCCUCACGCUCGUCCGCGAGAACGACCUCGACGAGGCGGCGCUCCUCACCCGCCACUCCAUCUACUCCAACUGCCGCCCCACCGUAUUCACCUGCAACACAGUACUAGCUGCGCUCCUCCGGCAGGCGCGCUACGCGGAUCUCCUCUCCCUGCACCGCUUCGUCACCCAGGCCUCCGUCGCGCCCACCGUCGCCACCCACAACCUCCUCCUUCAGGCCUACUGCGACUGCCGUCGCCCUGAAACCGCGCUGGAGCACUUCCGUCUCCUACUCAAGGACGACUCCCCUGUCCUCCCAUCCCCAACCACAUAUCGUAUCCUUGCCCGCUCCCUCGCCGAGAACGGCAAGCUCGAUCUGGCGCUCGAGCUCAAGGACGGCAUGCUCGAGCGUGGCCUUAUCGCUCCCGACCCCCAGGUCUAUGCGUUCGUCAUGGGUGGUUUUGUCAACGCCGGGGAUGGUGACACGGCGGUCUCACUGUACGAGGAGCUUAAGGAGAAGCUUGGUGGCGGGCUGAUCCUUGAUGGUGUGGUGUACGGGAACCUUAUGAAGGGGUACUUUCUAAAGGGUAUGGACAAGGAGGCCAUGGAUUGCUACACCGAGGUGCUUGGAGAGGGAUCCAAGGUGAGAUUUGAGGCUGUUAGCUACAACAUGGUGCUUGAUGCGCUUGGUAGGAAUGGGAGGUUAGAUGAUGCAGUCGAGUUGUUUGAUAGGAUGUGCAAAGAGCAUGACCCGCCCAGGAGGAUUGCUGUGAAUCUUGGUAGUUUUAAUGUGAUGGUUGAUGCGUACUGCCGUGUGGAAAGAUUCCAGGACGCAAUUGAGGUGUUUGGCAAAAUGGGUGAGAAAAGCUGCACACCAGAUGCACUCUCAUACAAUAGUCUGAUUGACUGGCUGGGGAAGAAUGAACUUGUUGGUGAGGCAGAAGGACUGUACAAGGAGAUGGGGGAGCGUGGUAUUAAUCCUGACGAAUACAGUUAUGUCUUGCUCAUUGAGUCCUGCUUCAGGGUUGAUAAUGUGGAUGACGCUGUUGGUUACUUCAAUAAGAUGUUUGAUGUUGGUCUCAGGCCCAAUGCCAAUUCCUUUAACAAAGUCAUAAGUGGCUUGGUGAAGGUUGAUAGGAUUGACGAGGCACAGGGGUUCUUUGAUCUGAUGCCCGAAAAGGAGGUCAAGCCAAACAUUGCUAGCUAUGAAUCAUUGUUGAGAGCAUACAUCAAUGUUGCAAGGUUGGAUGAUGCAAUUAAGAUGGCCAAGGGUAUUCUUUUGGAUGAGAGUAUUGUAUUUACUGAUGAAUUGAAGGCACUUCUAUACGGGGCAUUGCAGAAAGAGGGGAGAAACGGGGAUAUGACAAAGUUGUAUGAGGAUGUUGAGACGGAGAAAGCAGAGGCUGCAGCACGUGCAGCUGAAGAGAAGGCUAGGGCAGAGGCUCUUGCUAAAGAAGAAGAGGAGAAGAAGAAGGCUGAGGCUAAGGCUAAGGAGGAAUCUGCUGCCAGAGCAAGUAGAGCAGCUAUUGACGCGGUGCUGGGUCGCAAGAGCGGAGCAGAAAAUGGUGAAUCGUCUCAAGAAAUGAGUGUUGAGGAGGCACAGGUUGUUGAAUCUCACAGUGACGCUGUUGGUGCUGCAGAACAGAAUGAAGGUGAUGACCAGAAGAAAGAGUCUGGUGAUGCAACGUCGCAGGUCAUAGCUUCAUCAUCUUAG